AGCGAACGCUGGCGGCAGGCUUAACACAUGCAAGUCGAGCGGGCCUUUCGGGGUCAGCGGCGGACGGGUGAGUAACGCGUGGGAACGUGCCCUCUGGUUCGGAAUAACUCAGGGAAACUUGAGCUAAUACCGGAUACGCCCUUUUGGGGAAAGGCUUGCUGCCGGAGGAUCGGCCCGCGUCUGAUUAGCUAGUUGGUGAGGUAACGGCUCACCAAGGCGACGAUCAGUAGCUGGUCUGAGAGGAUGAUCAGCCACACUGGGACUGAGACACGGCCCAGACUCCCUAGGGAGGGAAGAAGGGGGGAUAUUUGGCCAUUGGGGGAAAGCCGGACCCGCCCAUGCCGGGGGAUGAAGGAAGGCCUUAGGUUGGUAAAGCCUUUUUUCCCGGACGAUAAUGACGGUACCGGAGGAAUAAGCCCCGGCUAACUUCGUG
Molecule: ribosomal RNA, 433 nt
Filed under: uncultured bacterium
Lineage: Bacteria
Description: partial 16S ribosomal RNA
Rfam family: Bacterial small subunit ribosomal RNA
Source: RNAcentral